This 484-nucleotide ribosomal RNA is filed under the name uncultured bacterium. RNAcentral's name for it is "bacterial SSU rRNA". It matches the Rfam family "Bacterial small subunit ribosomal RNA", at positions 28 to 507 of the family's 1533-position model. The record is from RNAcentral.
GAUUAACGCUAGCGGCAGGCCUAAUACAUGCAAGUCGAACGGGAUUCAAAGUAGCAAUAUUUUGAUGAGAGUGGCGCACGGGUGAGUAACACGUAUGCAAUUUACCUUUAACUGGGGGAUAGCCCUCCGAAAGGAGGAUUAAUACCGCAUAAUAUAUUGAAAUGGCAUCAUUUUUAAUAUUAAACCUACGGGGGUUAAAGAUGAGCAUGCAUCCGAUUAGCUAGUUGGUGUGGUAACGGCUCACCAAGGCAACGAUCGGUAGGGGGUCUGAGAGGAUGAUCCCCCACACUGGUACUGAGACACGGACCAGACUCCUACGGGAGGCAGCAGUAAGGAAUAUUGGACAAUGGAGGCAACUCUGAUCCAGCCAUGCCGCGUGAAGGAUUAAGGCCCUAUGGGUUGUAAACUUCUUUUAGACGGGACAAAACCCUUUACGUGUAAAGGGUUGAUGGUACUGUCAGAAUAAGCAUCGGCUAACUUCGUG